UCAGCGAUGACCUCACCAAAUCCUAAAUAUUUCAAACAAACUCAAGAAUGUACAUUAAUGCAAAUUUACAUUAGACAAACUCAAAUACAAAAUCACAAGAAAUAAAGAUAAUCCUCUCGAAUUUUUGAAGUUCGUAUAGCACUUAAGAGUGACUAAUUAGCCUCCAGAUACAAGAAAAUCUAACAGAAGCAGAAACUGAGAAAAGUGAUUAGGAAACAAUAAAACUCCUAAUGUAUCUUAUUCUCAAUCAUGUAUCAUGUUUAAAGUGUGAUGAACAUUAGCCACAAAUG
This 290-nucleotide long non-coding RNA is filed under the name Salvia miltiorrhiza (redroot sage). RNAcentral's name for it is "long non-coding RNA (SMIL_LNC007060)". Lineage: Eukaryota; Viridiplantae; Streptophyta; Magnoliopsida; Lamiales; Lamiaceae. The record is from RNAcentral.